CCUACGGGUGGCAGCAGUGAGGAAUAUUGGUCAAUGGGCGCGAGCCUGAACCAGCCAAGCCGCGUGAGGGAUGAAGGAUCUAUGAUUCGUAAACUUCUUUUAUAAGGGAAUAAAGUCCGGGACGUGUCCCGCUUCGCAUGUACCUUACGAGUAAGGAUCGGCUAACUCCGUGCCAGCAGCCGCGGUAAUACGGAGGGUUCGAGCGUUAUCCGGAUUUAUUGGGUUUAAGGGGUGCGUAGGCGGUCUGAUAAGUCAGAGGUGAAAUCCUGUGGCUCAACCCUGGAACUGCCGUUGAUACUGGGGGGCUAGAGUGUGUUUGAGGCAGGCGGAAUGCAUGGUGUAGCGGUGAAAUGCAUAGAUAUCACACAGAACACCGAUUGCGAAGGCAGCCUGCCAAGCCAUGACUGACGCUGAGGCACGAAAGCGUGGGGAGCAAACAGGAUUAGAUACCCCAGUAAUC
Molecule: ribosomal RNA, 460 nt
Filed under: uncultured bacterium
Lineage: Bacteria
Description: partial 16S ribosomal RNA
Rfam family: Bacterial small subunit ribosomal RNA
Source: RNAcentral